AGGUUAAGUUAACAAGGGCGCAUGGUGAAUGCCUUGGCACUAGGAGCCGAUGAAGGACGGGACUAACACCGAUAUGCUUCGGGGAGCUGUACGUAAGCUAUGAUCCGGAGAUUUCCGAAUGGGGCAACCCAGCAGUUUUAAUCAACUGUUACCACUAGAUGAAUUCAUAGUCUAGUUGGAGGUAAACGCUGUGAACUGAAACAUCUCAUUAGCAGCAGGAAUAUAAAGAAAUUUCGAUUCCCUAAGUAGCGGCGAGCGAACGGGGAACAGCCCAAACCAAAGUGCUUGCACUUUGGGGUUGUAGGACUGAACAUUUGAGUUACCAAAGAACUUGAUAGUCGAAGGAUUUGGGAAAAUCCGCCAUAGAUGGUGAUAGCCCAGUAGAUUAAAUCAAAUUCUCUCAGUUCAGGAUCCUGAGUACGGCGGAACACGUGAAAUUCCGUCGGAAUCCGGGAGGACCAUCUCCCAAGGCUAAAUACUACCUAGUGACCGAUAGUGAACCAGUACCGUGAGGGAAAGGUGAAAAGCACCCCGGGAGGGGAGUGAAAUAGUUCCUGAAACCAUGUGCCUACAAUAAGUCAGAGCGCGUUAAUGCGUGAUGGCGUGCCUUUUGUAGAAUGAACCGGCGAGUUAUGAUCCCGUGCAAGGUUAAGACUAAAAAGUCGGAGCCGUAGCGAAAGCGAGUCUGAAAUGGGCGUUUUGAGUACGAGGUUAUAGACCCGAAACCAGGUGACCUAUCCAUGUCCAGGUUGAAGGUGCGGUAAAACGCACUGGAGGACCGAACCCGUGUAAGUUGAAAAUUGCUGGGAUGAGGUGUGGAUAGCGGUGAAAUUCCAAACGAACUUGGAGAUAGCUGGUUCUCUCCGAAAUAGCUUUAGGGCUAGCCUCGGAAUUAGGAUCAUGGAGGUAGAGCACUAUUUGGACUAGGGGCCCGUCUUGGGUUACUGAAUUCAGAUAAACUCCGAAUGCCAUUGAUUCAUAUCCGGGAGUCAGACGAUGAGUGAUAAGAUCCACCGUCGAAAGGGGAACAGCCCAGACCAUCAGUUAAGGUCCCUAAAUGUAUGCUAAGUGGAAAAGGAUGUGGAGUUGCAUAGACAACUAGGAUGUUGGCUCAGAAGCAGCCACCAUUUAAAGAGUGCGUAAUAGCUCACUAGUCGAGUGAUCCUGCGCCGAAAAUGUACCGGGGCUAAGCAUACUACCGAAACCAUGGAUGCGACCAUUAGGUCGCGUGAUAGGAGAGCGUUCUAAGGGCGGUGAAGCAAGAUCGUGAGGACUUGUGGAGCGCUUAGAAGUGAGAAUGCCGGUAUGAGUAGCGAAAGAUAGGUGAGAAUCCUAUCCACCGAAUGACUAAGGUUUCCUGGGGAAGGCUCGUCCUCCAGGGUUAGUCGGGACCUAAGUCGAGGCCGAGAGGCGUAGACGAUGGAUAACAGGUUGAGAUUCCUGUACUAGUUAAGUGCGUUUGAGCAAUGGAGGGACGCAGGAGGCUAAGAUGUGCAUUCUGUUGGAUUAGAAUGUCCAAGCAGUAAGUCUUGUGAAGAGUCAAAUGCUUUUCACUUUAAGGACAAGCUGUGAUGGGGAGCGAAAUUUAGUAGCGAAGCGUCUGAUGUCACACUGCCGAGAAAAGCUUCUAGUGAGUACUUAACUACCCGUACCGCAAACCGACACAGGUAGUCGAGGAGAGAAUCCUAAGGUGAGCGAGUGAACUCUCGUUAAGGAACUCGGCAAAAUGACCCCGUAACUUCGGGAGAAGGGGUGCUGAUCGCAAGAUCAGCCGCAGUGAAUAGGCCCAGGCGACUGUUUAUCAAAAACACAGGUCUCUGCAAAAUCGUAAGAUGACGUAUAGGGGCUGACGCCUGCCCGGUGCUGGAAGGUUAAAAGGAUGGGUUAGCUUCGGCGAAGCUCAGAAUUGAAGCCCCAGUAAACGGCGGCCGUAACUAUAACGGUCCUAAGGUAGCGAAAUUCCUUGUCGGGUAAGUUCCGACCCGCACGAAAGGCGUAACGAUCUGGGCACUGUCUCAACGAGAGACUCGGUGAAAUUAUAUUGUCCGUGAAGAUGCGGACUACCCGCGACAGGACGGAAAGACCCCAUGGAGCUUUACUGUAGCUUGAUAUUGAGUGUUUGUACAGCUUGUACAGGAUAGGUAGGAGCCAUAGAAACCGGAACGCUAGUUUCGGUGGAGGCGUUGGUGGGAUACUACCCUCGCUGUAUGACCACUCUAACCCGCACCACUAAUCGUGGUGGGAGACAGUGUCAGGUGGGCAGUUUGACUGGGGCGGUCGCCUCCUAAAAAGUAACGGAGGCGCCCAAAGGUUCCCUCAGAAUGGUUGGAAAUCAUUCGCAGAGUGUAAAGGCACAAGGGAGCUUGACUGCGAGACAGACAGGUCGAGCAGGGACGAAAGUCGGGCUUAGUGAUCCGGUGGUACCGUAUGGAAGGGCCAUCGCUCAACGGAUAAAAGCUACCCUGGGGAUAACAGGCUUAUCUCCCCAAGAGUCCACAUCGACGGGGAGGUUUGGCACCUCGAUGUCGGCUCAUCGCAUCCUGGGGCUGUAGUCGGUCCCAAGGGUUGGGCUGUUCGCCCAUUAAAGCGGUACGCGAGCUGGGUUCAGAACGUCGUGAGACAGUUCGGUCCCUAUCCGUCGCGGGCGUAGGAAAUUUGAGAGGACCUGUCCUUAGUACGAGAGGACCGGGAUGGACAUACCUCUGGUGUACCAGUUGUGCCGCCAGGCGCAUCGCUGGGUAGCUACGUAUGGAUGUGAUAAACGCUGAAAGCAUCUAAGUGUGAAACACACCUCGAGAUGAGAUUUCCCAUUCCUUUAUGGAAGUAAGACCCCUGAAAGAUGAUCAGGUAGAUAGGUUAGAAGUGGCAGUGCGGUGACGCAUGAAGCGGACUAAUACUAAUCGGUCGAGGACUUAACCAAG
Molecule: ribosomal RNA, 2921 nt
Filed under: Lactiplantibacillus plantarum subsp. plantarum
Lineage: Bacteria; Bacillati; Bacillota; Bacilli; Lactobacillales; Lactobacillaceae
Description: bacterial LSU rRNA
Rfam family: Bacterial large subunit ribosomal RNA
Source: RNAcentral